RNAcentral lists this long non-coding RNA (13426 nucleotides) under Ananas comosus (pineapple). RNAcentral's name for it is "long non-coding RNA (ACOM_LNC042024)". The record is from RNAcentral. Lineage: Eukaryota; Viridiplantae; Streptophyta; Magnoliopsida; Poales; Bromeliaceae.
CGGGGCGUGACACUCUCUCACGCUAGCGCGCUCGCCUCUCUCUCUCUUUAGCACGCUGGCGCCAAAAUUUAGGGAAAAAGAGGGAAAACGCGAGGGGAUAAAAUGUGGGAGUGAGGUUAACACUGAUUUUUUUUUUUUUUAAACCAAGUUUAUAUCAGCCGUUGGAUCAAGGAGUUGUAGGAUCUACAACUCUAAAUGGGGUGUAUGGGUAGCACGACUCUAUCACUUAACCCCAGCCCCCUGCAAAAUGUCUACGUAUCCAGCCUCUCUCCCUCUCCUUUCUUUUCAUUUCUUUCUCCUUCUCCUUCUCUCUAACUCUAGGUGAAGCUUAAUAGAGAAGGUUGAUUUGGCGUUGGAUCUUUUUUGGUGUGUUGAGCUGAAAAUAGAAGACUUGAGCAGAAAUAGAACCUAGGGGAGCUUCAAAUUUAGGUAAGGUUGAUACCUUUCCCCUGGUUUGAGUGGUAUUAGUGCUGUAGAGAGAGUUGUAAGCAAUAUGAUUGCUAGUUUUAGAACUUGUAGUGGCUGUGAGGGAAUUUGGUGGAGUAGAUUUCAGAAUUGGGGCUUCUUGCGGUUGGAGCUGAAAAGAGGGCUUUUGGUGCAGAAAAUCUGCUAGUGAGGCAUUCAGCUUGAAGUAAGUAUGCAUAUUUCUGAUUUAGAAGGGUGUUAGUUGCCUAUAUAGAAGUCUAAUUUACAGAUUUAGAAUGUUAAUACCACAAGAGGCUUAAGGGAAAUUCUGUGGCAGCAUAUAUGUAUGUAGUAUGUAGAUAUGUAUAUGCGUAGUUAUUAGAAACAGGAAAUCUGAAAUAGAUUGAUCUUAUUUCCUGUUUAAUGUCAGUAUACUCAGUUCAGGGAAGAGUUCGAAUUAUAUAUUCUGAUUACUAGGCCUCCAAAUGCCAAGAACUCUAUAUAGAACAAGAUACAUACUAUAGAUGUGUAUGUACAUAUAUAUGUACAUACUUAUGAAUGAUCAUUGGGGGUAAAAUAUGAGAUGAUGAGGAUUAAAAAUCCCUGGUUUGAAUGAUCUUCUGGGCUGUAUAAAAGUGUGGAAAGGAGGGUUUCUAAAUGAUUGUAACUUGUAUUCAUAAAUAGAAGCGUUGAGACCAUGUUGUUAUGAAAGUAAAUUACAUAUCAUUUAUGCAAAUAUAAGAAUACAACCAGAGAUAGAAAUAGUGAAAAGUUAUGCUUGAUUUCUGGUUUAAAGGGGGUAUAUGUAUGUUCUGAAGGGGAUGGAACUACAGAUUUUGAUGUGAGAACUCUUGAAAUUAUGAAAAAACUUAGAGAAGUAUAUGCUGGAAGCAUAUAUGUAUAUAUAUAUAUAUAUAUAUAUGUGACGCACCGACUUCCCAGAGGGUCACCCAUCCUAGGACUACUCCCGUCCUGGCACGCUUAACUCUCUUAACCUCUUGGGUCUUGCCACCACCCAAAAUGCUUAAGCCGGGUUAAGAGUUUAGCCCUAUUAUAUCUCAUAUAUAGGACUAUCUGGGGUCUCACAAUAUAUAUGCAUAUACUUGUGAAUUCUUGGUUAGCAAGUAAGAUUUGAACUAUAGUGAGGAUAAUCCCUGGUUAGAGAAUGAAGUAAAUCCUCUAAACUGUUAGUCUUGAGGUUAUUGGGCUGAUUAGAGUUGAGUUACUCUAUGUGCUUUUGUGAGGUUUGUUUAGUAGUAGAUUGUAUAAAGUUUUAACUCGAAAAUGCUACUUUGUAGGAUUGGAAAACUUGCCUGGAAUUGAUCACGUAUAAACCUAAUUGAGGGUAAAGCGAACGCGUUGGAAAGCUCGGAUCGAUGUUCCAACGAGCCUACGGCAAGCUAGUGAGGAAAACCUCAUUUUAGCUCAAGUUAUUGCGCGCAAGGAUUGCGGUCGUCCGUAAAUUGCGGGAAGCGGAUUUCUCGUGUUCCGGUAUCAAGUAAAGGUGGGUUGUGCUUUACCGAAGCGAUUAGGUCGCUUCCAUGCCAAAGUAAUGUAUGGUUUCAUUGACGCAUAUAUGUUUAGCGGUAGGUUUUGAUCGAUAAUAUGAAAGCAUGAAUCAUUAAGUUACCUACUAUUGGAAUAUGCAUAUGAAUAUAUAUUGAUGAUCAUAUUGGAUGACAUAUGAAUACUGACCUAUUAUGAAUAUACUAGAUGCAUAUGAAAUGAGUACGAGUCGAUAACUCUAAUUGAGUAGAAAUCUCGACGGUGACAAAAUGAAUGAAAACGCGUAAGCUAUGAUUCUAGGCUUGGAUAACUAGGAUGAUGCAUAGAUCGAGUGGCAUGAACCUAGUGUUAUUAAACAUAGGUUGGACAUAAACCUAGUGUCAUUGAACAUAGGCUGAAUUAGUAAACCUAGAGUCGGGAUCUAGGUGAAAUGAUAUAGAAUCUAGCGUGCUUGAAUCUAGGUUAUGACAUAUAGUGAUACUUAGUGAAAUUGAACUAAGUUAUGGAUUAUAGUGGUAAAAGGACCACUAGGAAAUGAAUGGUAUAGACCUAGGAAGGUCGUCAACGUAGGGUAAAUGUGUAACCCUUAAGUUGUGAAAGUGGGUUCCGGAAUCCCUAGGAAUGGUGUUGUUGGCAAAAAUAGAAUCAGAACUACGGGAUCGACGGUUCUCUUCUCCCGGUAGUGAUUCAACGGGAUCGACGGUUCUCCUCUCCCGGUAUGAGCUCAACGGGUUUGACGGUUCUCCUCGCCCGUUAAGCUUGAGCGACUUAGGGUCACGGGGAUCGACGGUUCUCCUCUCCCUGUGAUUGUACCUAUUGUCGUGUGGACUUAAGGCUGAGGUGUUUGUGAGACGUCCUUCACCUCGAGCCUGACUUGACGCGGUACUCCGCGGAUGAUUGACUCGAGGCCGAGUCGGGUGGAUAGCUUAAUUAAGGUAGAUGAAACCUUAGAAGCUAGUGUGAUACGAGCUUUGAAUAGCGAGAUGGAAAGUAGGAUCAGUAGAUCUACUUGUUACAUAGUUGCAUUAUAUUGUUGCAUAUUGCAUAUCGUGAGGCAUACAUGUUUUAAUAUCUGCAUAAAUUAUUGUGAUUAUCUGUUGGACUAACAUGUUACAGUGCCUCCUUUGGACCUGGUGGGUCGAGCUCUUCCCUUGGGUGGCCGUACCCACUGGGAACUAUAUUUAUAUAGUUCUCACCCCCGUGUUGUUUUUGGGGGUACAGGUUCACACGCGAGUGGCGCAGCGGCGCAAGGACAGGGCGUAGCUCCGUAGAUAGUGCCCCACCACUGAGACCGAGAUAGCAAUACCCCGAAGAGGUCUAGCUCAGAGUUCAGAUUGAAAGAAACAAACUUGUAGUAAUUUGUAUAAAGGCUUAUGUAAUAACUUAAAGGUAUUUGUAGUAUUGUAAAAUGUAAUAAAUCUCUAAGAUGAAUGCUUGUAAUAGCAUAGUAGCAUUUUAUGUUUUUGAUACUUGCAAUCGAUGCUGAAUACUGUUCCUGGUUGGAACCUCUUGUAUUGCAUUGUAUAGAUUGUGACGCCUAGAACGUACAGGGAAAGCUCUGUCCGUUAGGCGGUCUGUUGGCGUGUCCGAAUCCGACCAAAUAGGCGGAGCUCGGGGCGUGACAUGGUACUCCACUGAACUUUAAAGAAUUCAAUAAAUCAGCAGGAUAUAAAAGAUCCGCUUCUUCAGCAUUCACGGAAGAGCUACAAAUCGAAUCGGCACUUGUGUAUAUCUUUUCUUCGCCUUUAAUUAAGGACAGAACAUAUGUAUUAAUUUUAUCAACAGUCUCAUUUAUAGGUGUGAUAAUAGCUCUGUCUCUCAAAUAGAAUGCAUCAUUAUAAUUAUACUCGAGAUUAUCAUAUAUUGAUGCAACAAUAUCUCUGACACCAUUUCCGCUAUUUUUUAUGAGAAUAUCAUCAGGUAUCUUAAUCCAAGUAGGCUCUUCUUCAUUGUCCAACUUAAUAGCGGAUAUUUUUCCAUCACCUAAAUCAAGUGUCCAUUUUGCAAAUGCUUCCAAAUCUGCUUUAUCUUCAGUGUUUUCCGGGCAUGUACGCAACCGCAUAUUCGUUGUUAGGCGAUAUAGUUUAUAGUGCUGCCAUAUAUAUGAUUUAGUAAUUGAUGCAUUCACUAUAUCCUGUGUAACAUACCGAACUUAUAAAGUUAUGAAGUUGCGGUGUAUGUUAGCUUGGAAGAGUUAAAAGUGAGUUCUAGAAGUGUUAGAAAGGUUCUAGCAUCGACCGAGGCGAAAUGGAGUCGAGUCGAAGUCAAAACCCAAGUCUGGAGCAAGUGUACCGGUACAGCAAGCGACCUGUCACCGAUUUCAGCAUGUGAAACCGGUGAUACAUCAAAAUGUACCGGUACAUUUCGGGCGAAAAUGAGAGAUAUGCUCUUGGGUUUGCCUCUGCGUGGUCGUGGAACCGGUGACACGGGAAAGUGUACCGGUACACCUUGGCAGAAUGGCACAGUUUUGAGUCUGCUGCAAAUGUGAAUGUUUGGGGGGUUUAUUUGCAAUUGUUGCAACACCUAAAAUACCCCAAACACUCUUCCCUUUUACAGCAGCCCCUCUUCUCUUAUUUUCUCUCUCCCUCUCUCUCUAGAAACUCAAACCAAAGGUGGAUUUGGAGGAGAUUGAGGAAGUGUUUGAAGAUUUUUGCGGGNGGCGGGUAGUGCUUGGGGACGACCCGUGCCUGGACCACUUGGGGACUGUGGAGCCUGGGCCUUGGGCAGGCGCAGUCAGCUGUAAAUGACAGCGGCCCUGUACCUACGGGUAGGGCAGAGUUUUGGUUAGGACGGUAGUCCGAGCUUAGACCCGGGUGCGUGGAAUGCCACGUGUUGGAUCGUGAGAUCGAGGAUACACCAAAUAUGUGGUGACCCAACCCGAGAAUUUGGCGUGGUUUGGGGUCUUGAUAGCUCCUGGUUGGAGUGUGUGUGAAUUACCAAGUGAGAAUUUCGCCCGAAAUGUUGGUUGGGUCUACGCUUGCGAGCGAGAGACGUUGCGUGUGUCGAGACAGGUUAGGCGGUAGGUCUACGUAGAGUUGGCGGUCUAUGGACCACCUGCGGAAACCGAGGAAAGUGGCUUGGCCGGUAACUCUGUUGAGGAGCUGGGAUUAGGAUUCACGAGCAGAGUCUUCGUGAGCGGUUUGCGACAGCAAAGUCGAGUUGGUCGUGGCAAUGGAAGAAAAUAAGUGGUCUCUUGGAGACGCUUGAGGAUUGGAUAGCCACGUGAGAAAUGACGUAAAGCUCUCUUGAGGAUUGGAAUCGAGAUGUGCCGGAGUGUGCCAUCUCGUAAUAGAGCGAGAUUCGGUUGAGGUUGGAGCACUCGCGAUUGGUCGAUGCACCAAUGAUAUUGCUUCUAAGCAAUGCCGGUGAUCGAAUCGGAGUGUGUUCCCUGAUGAGAUGAGAAAUGCAAAGAGGAGUUCUUUGCUAGCAGGUUGGCAAAUGGUGUUGGAGCGUGUGGAGUCGUCAAGUAUCGACUCACGCUGCCACCGAGACUUGCAGAGUUGUAGUGCACUUUCAGUGUUGCGCUUGGCGAAUGUGAGUGAAGCUAGUCUCACACCUUCCGUGGUGGGCCUUUUGGAUUGAUCCGAUGAGAAAAAGGCCACUCCGAAGUGUGAAAGUGCGUUGGGACCCUCAAAUUGUUCGAUAAAUCGAAUUGAGGUAUGAUUUGAAUUUCGCGGAUGAAAUUCUUUUAAGGGGUGGAGAAUGUAACAUACCGAACUUAUAAAGUUAUGAAGUUGCGGUGUAUGUUAGCUUGGAAGAGUUAAAAGUGAGUUCUAGAAGUGUUAGAAAGGUUCUAGCAUCGACCGGGGCGAAAUGGAGUCGAGUCGAAGUCAAAACCCAAGUCUGGAGCAAGUGUACCGGUACAGCAAGCGACCUGUCACCGGUUUCAGCAUGUGAAACCGGUGACACAUCAAAGUGUACCGGUACAUUUCGGGCGAAAAUGAGAGAUAUGCUCUCGGGUUUGCCUCUGCGUGGUCGUGGAACCGGUGACACGGGAAAGUGUACCGGUACACCUUGGCAGAAUGGCACAGUUUUGAGUUUGCUGCAAAUGUGAAUGUUUGGGGGGUUUAUUUGCAAUUGUUACAACACCUAAAAUACCCCAAACACUCUCCCCUUUCACAGCAGCCCCUCUCCUCUCAUUUUCUCUCCCUCUCUCUCUCUAGAAACUCAAUCCAAAGGUGGAUUUGGAGGAGAUUGAGGAAGGGUUUGGAGAUUUUUGAGGGUUUUGGAGGAUCAAGAAGCUCUCCUUCAUGGUGGACUUGGAGGAGCUUGGGCAAAGGUAAGCUCUCAUGCAAGAAUACAUCUAGGGUUUAGAUUUUACCCUUAAGAUCUAGAGGUUUGAUCUUCUUGCAAACUUUAGAACCAUGUAGAGGCUUGGAAACACAUGAAAACCAUGUGAUCUUCAAGGUGCUCUAAUAGUGGAUUUCUAGGGUUUGUUCUAAACACCCUAAGAAUGGUUCGAAUGCUCCUAGUUGAGCUCCUAGAUGUUAAACAAGCUCUCUUUUGCUUGUUUUAUAGAUCAAAUCCGGAGUAUUGAGCAUAUGUCCUAUUAGGGCAUCCCAAAGAGGGGUUUUGCUCACAUAGGGUUUUGAUCUAUUUUGACCUCUUGGAAACCUAAUUGGGGACCUAACGAACGCGUUGGCGAAAUCGGUUUGACCAUUCGUCGAGUGUGCGCGAAGUUAUUGACAAAAUAACAUUGUUUCGUACAGAUAGCCGCAGCACGCGAAAUAAGGGUCUAAAAAUCAUGAGAUCGGAACCGGAGCACCUUGGAGUCAAGGAAUAAACUCCGGAAAAGACGGAUCGCGGUUCAGAGGUCGUUCGCUAGUCGCGCAAGAGUUCGGGCCAAACCGGACAACGGUUGCCGCGGGAGGCCGAUUGCAAGUGACUACAAGCAAUCGGAGUGCAAGUCAAGGUGGGUUGUGUUUACCGAAGCGACUAGGUCGCCUGUAUGUCUAAGAAUGAGUAUUUAUCAUUGAUGCAUAUCAUGGUAGCUAAUGGUAGAAGGUAUACAUGUAUGAAAUGAAUACUAUGUGGGCUACCCAAUAAUGCAUACGGCCAUAAUGUAGGAAAAUGUAUGAUAAGCAUGUUGUAGUAAAUGCUAAAGAGAAUGCAUGCUAAAAAUAUAAAGUACAAGUACAAAAGAAAAUGCAUAUUGCAUGUAUAGAAUAUUCAUGUAGAAAUGAAUGUUAGAUAAAGUGCAUACUAAUAUAAGAUGUAUGUUAAGUAAACACAUGAACUUUGUGCAUGAACUAGAUGAUAUAUAAGUGCAUGAUUGAGAUGCUAAUGAUAAAUGCAUAACACUAGGAUGACUAGAGAACUCGACAUUGGAAAACAAGAAUAAUGAACUAUAAGGACAAUCUAAAGACAUUAGAUCGAGUGGCAUUAAACCAAGAAUCAUCGACAUAGGUAUGAAAAUGGAUGAUAUGAACCUAAGUAUCAAAGAACAUAAGAUGGACAUCAAGUGGCAAUGAAACCUAAUGUUAGAAAACAUAGGUGGUAAUGAGAAAGACAACGAACCUAAAAUCACAUGAACAUAGGUUGAGAGUCAAAGGUAAUGAACCUAGAGUUAUAUAAACCUAGGAUAUGAGUAUAAAAGCAGCAAACCUAAAGUCAAGUAAACCUAGGUUGAGUAAAGGACAAUGGACCUAAAUAGGUCAACACUAUAGGGUUACAAGACCAACCCUUAAGUGAUGUAAAAUGGAUUCCGGAAUCCUCAAAGCUAAAUGCAUACACCGAGACCAGUGCAGCAUAUGAGCGACGAAGUUCGCCGCCCAGGGGCUAUAGAACCAAGGUUCCUCGCCCACCCGAAGAACUUCGACGCCGGAUGAUCGAGCAAGAACAGUGGAGCGAUACCGCCUGUAUGACGGAACCAUCCACGUGCCCUAUGCGACGAUCUCAGCCGCCGGGUGGAUAAGGCAUGUACCUAGACCACCGUGGGGAGACCUGACCAUGGCGUACGCCGCCAGACCAGCUAGGACAUGGAGUACGGUAGGCUCUGGUAAGCUGAGGUGCAUGGGAGAGUUCCUUCACCUCGAGCCGGACAGAGCGCGGACUAUCCGCGAUUGAUUGACUAAAGACCGAGUCGAGGGGCAUAGUGUGACCAAGGUAUAAGUAACCUUAGAAAAGAAUGACAAAUGCUAAAGUAUAUCGACAAUCAAGAAUAGCAAAGAAUAAAGAAUCGCCAAAGAAUGAGAAUGUAACAAAAGAAAAGAUAUAAAGAACAGCUAAUGAAAAAGAAUAGCUAAAAAAGUAAAGAAAGGCUACAAGUAAAGAAUGACCAAGAAUAUAAAGUAGAAUCAAGCAAACUACUUACAUGACUUACAGGUUUUGCAUAUCGCAUUUUGGGAGGCAGGACAUCUGUUAGUUCAAUAAUAACAUGAUGAUAAAUAUAUAUAGAUGUUAUUGGACUAACAUGUUAGAGGGCCUCAUUAGACAUAUCGACCGAGCUUUUCCCUUAGGUGGCCGUACCCACUGGGAACCAUGGAGUUGGUUCUCACCCCACGUUGUUUGGGGUCUUUACAGGUACACACGAAAGCGGCGCGGCGGCGCGAGGCAAGGGCGUAGCUCCGUAGAUAGCGCCCUACCCCAGAGACCGAGAUAGCAGUACCCGAGUUGGUGGUCUAGCUUGGGAGGUUUAAAGACAAAGAACAAACUUUUAUCAAAUUGUAAUAUUUGUGAUUGUAUUCGGAAGUUUAAUGUAAAAGAAAAUUAUGGUGUAAAAAAUGUAUCUAAGUUGAAUGUUGUAAUAACUUAGUAGUAUUAUGUUUUUGAUACUUCCUUAUGCAAUCUAUGAAUGAAUACUGUUCCUGGUUGGAACCUCUCGUAUUGUAUUGAUUGCGACGCCUUGGACGUACAGGGGAGACUCCGUCCGCGGCACAGGAAAACCCUGUCCGUUCGGCGGUCUGUUGGCGGCGCCGCGACCCGACCAAAUAGGCGGGUGGUCGCGGGUUGUGAUAGAUAUGAUGGUAUCGGAGCAUAAAAUAGAGAAUGGGAAUAGUUUAGGCAGACCUAGGAGAUCCUAGGAUAGUGAAACCAUAGGAGAAUAAGGCUCGUGAGAGACGAGGACUUGUGAUUUAUGGCGAAAGGUUAAUGGAUUGGGUUGUGUCGAAACCUCUAAAAUGGAUAUUAGAGGUAGAUUCAAGGUGUUGUUUAUUCUCAACCGAGAGUGUUCAUGUUGGGUGCACACAACAUGAAACCAAGCGAUGAGGAUAGAUACCCUUGUAUGACUUUCGCCUGAUUGGCUUUUGAGCCGGUGUUAGUGGUCUCGUGCUCGACCCAAGAUGGUCGAGAACUAAUCGAGUUGUCGUGUUUCAGGAAACGAUGGCACCGCGUAGGCGACCUUCAUCCAGAUCGGCGCGGGAGGGGACAAGUGGUGUCCCUGAGCAAACCGGCGCGAGCGGAGACUCAGAGCUUCGCGAUCAGUUGGCCACACUCGUGGGAUUUAUGAGGCAACAAGCUGAUGUGGUGCAGUGGCAGCAGGAGGCUGCUAUGCGCCAGGAGGAGCGAAUGAAAAGGCUCCAAGAGACGGUGGAUCAGCUGGUGGCUGCACCGACUGCGGCUCGUCGAGGACGGCCGGGAGUCGCGGCGGAGAUAUUUUCGUCGGGGUCGGGCGAUCCGACUCCGGUUAGUUCAGGGAUGGAGGCGGAAAGGGAGCGAGCCUUGGCGGCCCUCAUGGCUUUCAAGCAGUUUGAUAAGCCUACCUUCGAUGGAGAGGAUACAGAUCCGUGGAUCGUGGAGAUGUGGAUUGAUUCCAUGGAAACACUCUUCGAGGAUCUGUACACUGUGGAGCGGGACAAGGUAAACCUAGCCGUGCACUACUUGAAUAGUCGGCGAAGGUGUGGUGGAAGGGCGUCAAGCGAGAUCGAUCGCCUACUCUCCCUCCUAUGACUUGGGAAGAGUUUCGGGGAAUGCUAUUCUCUGCUUAUUUCCCCGACAGUGAGAAAAGGAAGCUUCAGGAGAGGUUCCGGAAGCUGCGGCAAGGAGACCGCUCAGUUAGGCAAUACGAGCGGGAAUUCUCUCUAUCGUGCAUUGUAUUCCAAACGUGGUGCGGGAUGACAAGGAUAAGGCCGACUGCUUUGUGCGUGGGCUUCGGCCAGAUCUUUACCAGGCUGUGCUCGUACUUAGGUUACAGACUUUUGCCGAGGUCCUGGAUCGGGCCUUGUGGAUAGAACAAGGCAACGCAUUCCUGCAGGAGGAGCGCGAGGCGUACUACAAGGAAAAAGGAAAAGGACGGCCGGGGAGUGGAUCUGGUGGUCAGUCUUGUCACGCCCCGCCCCGAAACCACUACCAAUUUGGCACGAUUGGGCCGCGGCGGCGGACUGCCGAACGGACAGCACCUCCCCUGUCCGCUCAAGGCUCAACAACAAGAAUGUGUACAAGAAUUUACCCAGGAAAUUAAAUUCUAAACAUACACAUUCACAAGGGCACGAUGUCACGCCCGGGUACCAGCGGAAGCAUAUCCGGUACGUGCACAGACCCGCCAUACACCUGCAGUAUAUAAGGCGUCUACAAGCAACAAGUCGAUAGGAAGUAAAACAAGAAAGUCCUAUCCUGAUAUCAGAGCAAAGUACAAGUCGAUGUACAACGAGUAUCCAAUCCAAGUCAAAAUACAAACCAAGAUCUCAGCAAAAAGGAGAAGUAACACCACUAUAAUCUCAACCCCGAAAGUAAAUAUACAUCAUGGGUAUACAAAAAGAAUAGAUACAAUGGUGGUCUCUCUAUAUAUAUAUGGGCAUCACCCUCGGCCGUAGCCCGAGUAGCAAGGUGAUCGACUAGCACGCUCCUAGUAGUCCCUAGCUAGGCGCGACUCCCUUGCCACGAUCCCUAGCCUCUCCUGUAGAUGGCUCUGUAAAAACAACCACCAAAAGGGCGUGAGAACUAUUAACAAUAGUUCCCAGUGGGUAAGCCGCCAGCCUCGGCGAAUUACACCACUAGGCUCAAGAUGUACUAAAUGAAAGCAAUAACAAUAAUUGCAUGAUUUAUAAGCAUGAUGCUAAUAAGUAAUAAGCAUGUAAUCAACAUGUAAUAGCUUUCUACAGUAAUGAACCAUUUGCAUAAAAGAGAUAUAGCAACUUCUGUAAUCAUGAACAUAGACAUGAGUAUAAGCACGAACAUAAAAGUGACUACUGUACACUUUAAGUAAUAAACAUUCAUUACUGUCCUUUUUCAUUUAGUACUUUCCUUUCAUUCACAGGGACCUACCCAAGGUAGUCCAGCUUGCGCCGCGCCUAAUGGCCCCGUGGUAGUAUACACUCCCCACGGCAAUCCACUUCGGCACCCAAUCCCGCACGGGCGAGCAACUGUCGCGUAGGCCAACUCCGGAGUGCCGGCUUGUAGGGAGCGACCCUCACAAGCGUGUGCGAAUGAGCACGAUGGCAAGCAAGCAAAGUCCAUUGUCCACAUGUCUCAAUUCUCAUGUUUCAUUUGCAGUAUUCUCGCUCUCGAUCCUUUGAUCGACAUUUCAGUAUAACAAAUAUUAACAACAACUAGAAUCCACUAGUUUAGUAAGCAUGCAGGAGUAAUGCUAAUUUACAUAUGGCAUUAGAAUCUUUCACUAUCAUGGCACUAUCAACAUAGGCACAAGCAUGUCAUAGUUCUCUACUUCAGAGUCAAGAGAAUGUCAUUGUUCUCUACUUAUAAUUAAGCGAGUAAAAAGAGAAUGUCACUGUUCUCUACGUUUCAUGAGCAUAAUAACGUGUCUCAUUGUUAUUCAACUAAACCAAAUAGGAAUAUGAAUACAUUUAGGCGUGAGGAUUCUCUACUUCAUAGAGAUUCUAUGUCAAUAUAGUAAAUGUUAUGAUGACGAAUUCUCAAGCCCUUUAGCUAUCACAUAAGCACACAACUAACACAUUUCUAUAAUACAUAUAGAACAUAGAGGAGCUUCACUUGCUCUGGUUAGGUCCGACCCACCUAUUACUCAGCUCAAAACGGUCCAACAGAAGCUCUAAACUCAACUCAAACGGUUCCUGGACCUGCUGAAAACAAAACAUCAAACCGCAUCGAAGCAAUUACUUAAUAAUCCGAUUUCGGCUCCAAUCACACAAAGUAUGAAGUAAUAACUCAAUUCCCUGCUUUGACUAGCUUAAUACCUCAGAUUAAGCUUCCAAAAGGCCCUCCAAUGCCAGUCGAAGACAGUCCAAGGGUCAAUUACCCUCUCGCUGCGAACAAAACCGAAACGACAUCAAUAUAGUCGAUUAUAAGCUAUAAUAGUCGAAUUCUAGCAAUUUCAGCUUCCUAACUGAAAUUCUUGCUUACCUCAGGUUAGAACACCUUCUAAACCAGCCUCAAAAGGUACACGUUCAGCUCAACGAGACUCGAAGACCUGCUGCGAAGAGAAAAUUCCAAAUUGCAUCAAUAAUCCGCGUAUAGUUCCGAUUAAGCUUCAUAAAUGGCUAAAUAUUCCACUUAAGCUUCAAAGUAGCUUAUCCCUGGUCUAAGAAGGUUAAAUCACAGCUAAUUAUCUCAUUUUUAAUUGCUGAAAUCUCAGCCUAGCACAGCAAGAGGCAAAAACCCGAAAUUAUUACUUAAAUCGACGAAUAGAACGUCGAUAACAGCGAAAGUGAGUCGCUUACCUUCUCAAGCUGCCAACCAGUGACCUGCUGGUCCAGGGCUGCGAAAACCCAUCCAAAAUACUCUCUCACACGUCCACGUAAGCUCUGCGACGCUCGCAAACAGCGAAGAACGCACGCGGCGACGAAAACAAGCUAAAUCGGCGAAUUUUUUGUAGAGAGAGAAAAACCCUAGAGAGAGAGAGAGAUGAAGGUGGAAGAACAACCUCCUGAGUUCCAGCAACCAUUACUGAACUCCCAGAGUCGUGCUGGAAUCAAAUAGGUGAGAGCAAGAUGUGAAAUUACCAAACUACCCAAGCUGCCACGAAUCUGCCAGCUUGUACCGGUACAAGGUGAUGGCUGUACCGGUACAACAAGCAGAAAAUUGCUGAUUUUCGCAGAUCAAUGCAAUUUCUCACUUUUAACCCUCCAAUCACUCUCUAACUGGUCAAAAACUUCUCCAAAUCAUUUAGAACAUGUAGAAUAGUUCCACACUUCAUUGCUCACACUCGAAUUUCGCAAUUUGCAAAAGUUCAGUGUAUUACACACGAACAGUGCCAACAAUACAAAGAGCAAGUAAUCCACAAGAUAAAACAUGUGAAAUAAAGAGAGUACUUUACUAGCUAUUACAAUAGUUGCAUUUUUUUACAUUUACAUCAUUUUUCCAAAAUGAAUACAUUUGAUCCUCAAAAUACAUAGCUCUCCAACCUCACCUACAUGAAUCUCUCUCAAUACAUAGGGGUGCUAAUGCAAAAGGAAAGCUACUAUACUACCACGGUCUCACUGAUCGGGCGCGAUGCCCUUGCCGCGGUCCUCUCUCGGUAACCCUGUACCUACCACUGGAAAUAGAGUGGGGUGAGAACUAUCUUCCAUAGUUCCCAGUGGGCUCGGCCGCCGACUCUGCCGAUCUCCCCACUAGGUCCAAGUGGGCACAAGCAACAACAGGUAGAUAGAUAGAUAGAUAGAUA